CACGUAGGGUGCGAGCGUUGUCCGGAAUUAUUGGGCGUAAAGAGCUCGUAGGCGGUGUGUCGCGUCGGCCGUGAAAACCUGCAGCUUAACUGUGGGCGUGCGGUCGAUACGGGCAUCACUGGAGUUCGGCAGGGGAGACUGGAAUUCUCGGUGUAGCGGUGAAAUGCGUAGAUAUCGAGAGGAACACCUGCGGCGAAGGCGGGUAGCUGGGCCGACACUGACGCUGAGGCGCGAAAGCCAGGGGAGCGAACGGG
RNAcentral lists this ribosomal RNA (254 nucleotides) under uncultured bacterium. Its description in RNAcentral is "partial 16S ribosomal RNA". It matches the Rfam family "Bacterial small subunit ribosomal RNA", at positions 524 to 776 of the family's 1533-position model. The record is from RNAcentral.